GUUUAUGUAGUUUAAUAAGAAUAGUAAUUUGUGGUGUUACAGGUGUAAUAUUUGUUACUUUAAACC
Molecule: transfer RNA, 66 nt
Filed under: Coleoptera sp. 3 KM-2017
Lineage: Eukaryota; Metazoa; Arthropoda; Insecta; Coleoptera
Description: tRNA-His
Source: RNAcentral